RNAcentral lists this ribosomal RNA (207 nucleotides) under uncultured bacterium. RNAcentral describes it as "partial 16S ribosomal RNA". It matches the Rfam family "Bacterial small subunit ribosomal RNA", at positions 568 to 774 of the family's 1533-position model. The record is from RNAcentral.
CGCGCAGGCGGUCUGAUAAGUUUGACGUGAAAGCUCCUGGCUUAACUGGGAGAGGUCGUUGGAAACUGUCAGGCUUGAGGCAAUGAGAGGGGUGCGGAAUUCCCGGUGUAGUGGUGGAAUGCGUAGAUAUCGGGAGGAACACCAGUGGCGAAAGCGGCACCCUGGCAUUGACCUGACGCUGAAGUGCGAAAGCGUGGGGAGCGAACG